AAUUUAUCUAGAUUAAUUGAUUUAAAGUAUUAGUUAAUACAAAUAAACAAUACUCUAUAAACUACAAAAAGUGAAUACAAGAAUUGAAAUUGGGCCCUUACUUGACCCAUUUUCAAAUCUGGACACCAUUGGUUUGGGGCCUAUUUAAAUGGUCCUUUUUUCAAAUUUCUUUCAGCUGUGUAUAUCAUCUGUAUAUCACAGCACCUUUUCUUCACGUUUUUCCGUAUAUUUACUAUAUAGUGAUAUGUAAAUGGUUGUAUAUUUGCUUCCAAAUUCACUAUGCAUCAUAUGUUGGCGUAUACAAACCACCUUCCACCUGAAAAACCCAUAUAUAUUGUGUAUAUGAGUGUAUAUCAGCCCUUUUGGACUUGAUUUUGAAGCAUAGACUUGAAAAUCCGGGCCUCCUUGGCCCUUUGAGGAGAUGUGGAGUUUUAGAGUCCCGUGGACUCAUAAGGAGAGUUCAUGCAAAGGAGAUGAUAAUGUAAGUUAGUAAAUUUAUCAAUACAUAAAGAAAGACAAAUUUAUUAAACAUGCAAAACAUUUAAUGGGAAUUCGUGAUAGGAAUAUAAACUCCACAAAUGAAAGAUCGUUUAACAUAUUAAAGAAAAUGAAAUGCAAGGUACGGGGAGUCCAGAUGGACUUGUUUCAGGCAGCUCAUGUGUAAAGAGAAAGCAAAAGAAAGUUAGCAAUAUGUCAAGAUUGUUGAUAAUCAGACAUAAAUUCAACACUGAGACAGUUUUAUCCUUAGCCAAACAUUAUUGAAAUAAUUACAAUCAAUUACCCAAAAAGAGAUUCGAUGAAGUAGCAAAAUUCAAAAGAGAUUAUUUCGUCAAAACGAAACUAACAAAUUUAUUAAUUUUAGUUAAAUUAAUUCCGAAAGGAGAUCCAAAAUGGCUAGUUACUUCAAAUACUUAAACAGUGUUCCAAUGAAAUUCUUCAAACUAAACAGUAGCAAAAAUUCCUUUAUCCAAAUCCUCAUCUCAAAGUAUGACGUACUUUCUACAACUAACUAUUUAAGCAAAAAAAUACAUCACUUUUUUUUAAACAAAUAGGCAUAUACUUUAACUAAGGAUUGACAAAGUAGCAAAGAAGUAAGCAACACACCCAUUUUUUAGAAAUAACGACAAGUAGACAUAUCACAUAUUUUAUAUAAUGACAAGAAGAUCUGGUCCAACUCAAAGUUUAAAUAGUUCAAAGAUAUAUUCGAAUCGACAAACACAUUUAAGUGAAAGUUAACAAUCAAUUUCAAAUUUCACAAAGAAGGGAUUAAAUCAAUAUCUUGAACUUGCACGAACCUGAAUGACUUUUAAAACAUAGCAAUGAACCCUUAGUCCGAACUUAUUCGUACCAUAUUGACAAAAUUUGUUAGCUUUACUUGAGAAAUUAUGCAACACAUAACAAGAGGGUUCAUACAGGACAAACGCAUGCCAAGAAACUUAUUAAUCGCAAAACAGAACAAAAUGUUUGAAGAGGCGAAUCUCUCGUGACUUUUUCAAACUAACGGCUUUAUCUAAACAGCUAAUAGGAACCAAAUAUAUGACAUAGUGAAAACAAAAGACUUGGUUUUGAAACACUAACCCCAACCAUACCUUUUAAUUUCUCAAAAAUCUUCAGGAGGAGCUUCCUGAACUAAAACUAAAGAAAAGUCCCAAAAUUCAAACUUUAUUCUUCGGAAGGACUAAUUCAAAGAGUUUGUUUAACAUAUCCUUAAGGCCUCAACUUUCAACACAUGGAUAUUUUAAUUAGAGGUAAAAAUGGUGAGUCAAACUAAAACAAAACAAUCAUUCAAGCUAAAUAAAACUACAGAUUAACGCUGAAAGAAAACAUCAUAACGCCGAAACAAUGAGUCGUGAAAUCAACUCAAGAAAUCAAACACAAAAUCUAUGGCUUUCGAAAAACAUUCUACAACAUAUAAUCUCACAAUUACGCUACUUGCACGAAGAAAAAAGAAGAGAUAAUGAGGGAAUUUAAAAAAGAAAAAAUGUGUUUACCUUUUUCGGGGCAAGAAACGGGACGACGAACCUUGACGACAAACUUCCACCACCGGCAAAACACAAUUCCAAUCUAUCAAAAUAAUAGUGACUUUGCUGGAUUUUAGUUUUCCGUCGGGAUUUCGGUUGUGUGAAGUUAGAGGCAUGCACCUCCAGAACUCCCAAAUUUUUAUCCAAAAUCCUCCUCCCCUUCAUUCUACAUUCGUGGGUAUUUAUAGGAUAUAUGAGACUGAUUUUUGGGGGAAACGAAGGGGUUAAGAGGAAAAACGAAUUAGGAUUUGAAUUUCAAAAUUUGAGAUAAGGUUUGACUGGAAUUUGUACGAAUUGAAACGUUGUUGCUGAGCUAGUUCUUUCCGUUGUUGUACUGUUGUUGCAUUGAAUUGUGGUUGUUAUUGUUGCGUUGGUUGCUGUUGCAGAUACGGGUUGUUGGGUUCGCUGGGUUAGAGCGGAUUUCGUCGUUUGUUGAAGUGGUUGUUAACGUUGGGAUGUUGAGAUUGCGUUAUACGAGUUGUGUGUCGAUGUUGUUGGCUGUUGUUGUUUGUUUGUACGGUCGGGUUAAGUGUUGUUGUUUGUGUUGAAAUUAAUCAAGGGGAAAAGAGUAGUG
This 2595-nucleotide long non-coding RNA is filed under the name Capsicum annuum. Its description in RNAcentral is "long non-coding RNA (CANN_LNC009580)". The record is from RNAcentral. Lineage: Eukaryota; Viridiplantae; Streptophyta; Magnoliopsida; Solanales; Solanaceae.